This 72-nucleotide transfer RNA is filed under the name Felis catus (domestic cat). It matches the Rfam family "tRNA". Rfam says of the family: Transfer RNA (tRNA) molecules are approximately 80 nucleotides in length. The record is from Rfam by way of RNAcentral. Lineage: Eukaryota; Metazoa; Chordata; Mammalia; Carnivora; Felidae. RNAcentral also lists the same sequence under 2 other names.
GCCCAGCUGGCUCAAUAGGAAGAGCACUUAAUUCUUAAUCUUGGGUCGUGAGUUCAAGCCCCAUGUUAGGUG